Molecule: ribosomal RNA, 495 nt
Filed under: Proteus mirabilis
Lineage: Bacteria; Pseudomonadati; Pseudomonadota; Gammaproteobacteria; Enterobacterales; Morganellaceae
Description: bacterial SSU rRNA
Rfam family: Bacterial small subunit ribosomal RNA
Source: RNAcentral
GGGCAUGGGCGGCAGCUACACAUGCAGUCGAGCGGUAACAGGAGAAAGCUUGCUUUCUUGCUGACGAGCGGCGGACGGGUGAGUAAUGUAUGGGGAUCUGCCCGAUAGAGGGGGAUAACUACUGGAAACGGUGGCUAAUACCGCAUGACGUCUACGGACCAAAGCAGGGGCUCUUCGGACCUUGCGCUAUCGGAUGAACCCAUAUGGGAUUAGCUAGUAGGUGAGGUAAUGGCUCACCUAGGCGACGAUCUCUAGCUGGUCUGAGAGGAUGAUCAGCCACACUGGGACUGAGACACGGCCCAGACUCCUACGGGAGGCAGCAGUGGGGAAUAUUGCACAAUGGGCGCAAGCCUGAUGCAGCCAUGCCGCGUGUAUGAAGAAGGCCUUAGGGUUGUAAAGUACUUUCAGCGGGGAGGAAGGUGAUAAAGUUAAUACCCUUAUCAAUUGACGUUACCCGCAGAAGAAGCACCGGCUAACUCCGUGCAGCAGCCGCAA